AGGGCAGGUAGGGGGUGGCAGCAGAGGGACUCAAAUGUUCAGCAGCUACAGCUAGUACGGUUUCUUCAGGGGGAAGUCGAAGGAAACAAGAGCUGCAUGCCUACUAAUACGGAAUGCACGGUUUCCUCCUUCCGGCGGGGGUAGUAUUGUACUAUUGUACCAUCGGCACGGCCUCACUUGGCCAUCAUCACCUUGACGAACUCCUCGUAGUUGAUCUGGCCGUCGCCAUCGACGUCCGCCUCGCGGAUCAUCUCGUCGACCUCCUCGUCGGUCAGCUUCUCGCCGAGGUUGGUCAUCACGUGGCGGAGCUCCGCGGCGGAGAUGAAGCCGUUCUGGUCCUUGUCGAACACCCUGAACGCCUCCUUGAGCUCCUCCUCGGAGUCUGUGUCCUUCAUCUUGCGGGCCAUGAGGUUGAGGAACUCGGGGAAGUCGAUGGUGCCGUUGCCAUCGGCGUCGACCUCGUUGAUCAUGUCCUGGAGCUCAGCCUCGGUCGGGUUCUGACCAAGGGAGCGCAUGACAGUUCCCAGCUCCUUGGUUGUGAUGCAACCUGUCCGAUGCACAACAGAGAACAAUUUGAGAUCAAUUUAUAUAACAUGAACUAGUAAGAAGUCAAUAAUUAACCAGCUUGAAUAGUUAACACACUUUUGCUCAAAAUGACAGCAUAAGUAAACCAGCCAUUAAGCAAGCAUGCCAGAAGCAAUAAACAUCUUCCCAGAAAAAAGGACAACGCUAAUUCAAAAUCAUUGGACAGAGAUGUAGCUAACUGUUUAAAAGGUUGAUGGUCAGCUCCAACCUUGGAAGGUGCCACCAAACCAAAUUAAUACUAAAUUUGGAACCUCCUAAGAUAUAAUUUUGGAGUACCUCCUAAGAUAUAAUUCAAAAUCAGUGUUUGAUUCAAGUAAACAAGAUUUUCUUGAUAUCAGAAGCUUAUCCUUAUUAAAUGGGUUUCUUCAAGUGUACUUCAUACCUACAUGCUGAGUACCACAAUCUAAAACACAUCACAAUCGUCACGCCAAAAACAUGGUGAUAUACGCGAAAUCAUGGAGUUCUAAUACGAACCCAAAACAACACAUUACGGAACCAAAAUCUGAGCAGGCCCGAUGACUCUAACAGCUCUAUCCUUGGAGUUAUGGCCCCAGCCUACACUACUAAUCUGAGGGUAAAUCAUCCCAUGGUUAAUUCGGCCCUGUGAAAAAUUUGCAGCCCACAGUUACAACCGUACAAGAACGCAUAAAUGUCAGUCAAGAAGUGAGGCGGUGUGCAUUCAAAUGGUACUACACAGGUCUCAUGUGCCCCCUGCCUGCCAUGACCAAACCAACCCCUACAUAACCGACCGAUCUGGACGAAGGCUACCUACCGCCUACAAAUAAAACGACCCCAGCCUGACUCGGUCCACGGCAAAGGGCCGGAUCUAUAGCCUAACUGCUUCGCCACAUCUGGAUCCGAGACGAGGCCACGAGCAAUCACAUCGAUCUGGAAAUUGGAUCCCUACGGCGCUUUUCCCAGCAUGAGUUUUAUGAACCGCACGAGAUCUCUCCACCCACGCGGAAUCAAACAGCGAAGACGUGCCGCCGCAUCACACCACGCUGCUACGGGUUCACCGCUCGGUAGAAUCUCGCUACCGGCGGCUCUGGACGGGGUAAAAUUCUAUGCGCACACGCACAACCGGGCAGUUCCUUUUAACAUUCUGCACCCAGACCACGAACAAGGAUGUAAUCCACGGGUUUCUAACGGAACAUGAAGAUCAGACAAGCUCUUCCGCAGCUACGACUACGAGCCUAUAACAUGGUAGACACACAGAUCACGGCAGUAGGAACUGCAACGAGGAAGGAGAUGCUCGAGAGAGCGACAGGGGGGGAGGCGUGUUAGCUCACCGUCGCCGUCCUUGUCGAAGAGGCUGAAAGCCUCCUUGAACUCAGCGAUCUGGUCGUCGGUGAGCUGGUCCGCCAUGGUCUCCGGGGCUUCUCUCUCCGCGCGGCGAGGCGAGGCGAGGCGAGGGAGCGGUGUCGGGCUGGCCGGAGAGAUUAGGGAGG
RNAcentral lists this long non-coding RNA (2033 nucleotides) under Setaria italica (foxtail millet). RNAcentral describes it as "long non-coding RNA (SITA_LNC007223)". Lineage: Eukaryota; Viridiplantae; Streptophyta; Magnoliopsida; Poales; Poaceae. The record is from RNAcentral.